This 763-nucleotide ribosomal RNA is filed under the name Aspergillus pseudoglaucus. RNAcentral's name for it is "LSU rRNA". It matches the Rfam family "Eukaryotic large subunit ribosomal RNA", at positions 87 to 865 of the family's 3401-position model. Lineage: Eukaryota; Fungi; Ascomycota; Eurotiomycetes; Eurotiales; Aspergillaceae. The record is from RNAcentral.
CGGCGAGUGAAGCGGCAAGAGCUCAAAUUUGAAAUCUGGCCCCUUCGGGGUCCGAGUUGUAAUUUGUAGAGGAUGCUUCGGGUGCGGCCCCCGUCUAAGUGCUCUGGAACGGGCCAUCGGAGAGGGUGAGAAUCCCGUCUGGGACGGGGUGUCCGCGUCCAUGUGAAGCUCCUUCGACGAGUCGAGUUGUUUGGGAAUGCAGCUCUAAAUGGGUGGUAAAUUUCAUCUAAAGCUAAAUACUGGCCGGAGACCGAUAGCGCACAAGUAGAGUGAUCGAAAGAUGAAAAGCACUUUGAAAAGAGAGUUAAACAGCACGUGAAAUUGUUGAAAGGGAAGCGCUUGCGACCAGACUCGCUUCCGGGGUUCAGCCGGCUUUCGGGCCGGUGUACUUCCCCGGGGGCGGGCCAGCGUCGGUUUGGGCGGCCGGUCAAAGGCCCCUGGAAUGUAACGCCCCUCGGGGCGCCUUAUAGCCAGGGGUGUCAUGCGGCCAGCCUGGACCGAGGAACGCGCUUCGGCACGGACGCUGGCAUAAUGGUCGUAAACGACCCGUCUUGAAACACGGACCAAGGAGUCUAACAUCUACGCGAGUGUUCGGGUGUCAAACCCGUGCGCGCAGUGAAAGCGAACGGAGGUGGGAGCCCCCUCGAGGGGCGCACCAUCGACCGAUCCUGAUGUCUUCGGAUGGAUUUGAGUAAGAGCGUAGCUGUGGGGACCCGAAAGAUGGUGAACUAUGCCUGAAUAGGGCGAAGCCAGAGGAAACUCU